Xiphophorus hellerii (green swordtail) is the source of this 457-nucleotide long non-coding RNA. RefSeq lists it as uncharacterized. The transcript is spliced from 3 exons. The record is from RefSeq and is a predicted model, not a curated record. NCBI's taxonomy places the organism in Eukaryota, Metazoa, Chordata, Actinopteri, Cyprinodontiformes, Poeciliidae.
CAAUCUCGUUAAGUUUGACUUCAAUAUCGCGCAUUCAGCCGAGCUACGAGAUGGAGGAAUGACAACUUCUCCUUAAAAAUUAUUGAUGUGCCACAAAGGUUCUCUCCAGCGCCUUCCUCUGGAGGUCCGAGAACACGGCCCGCCGCAGCAUGCCCCUCCUGGGCUUCCCCCGGGGGGCCAGGGGCCAAGAAAACGUUCCUGGGACUGGAACCACAGAAGAAGAGGAGGAGGAGGCUGCAGGGAAGAAAAACAAGAUCCCUUAUCAAAGGAAUAUGCACUCACCUAUGAACCGACCAGAUGUCGGCGGCCUACCUGAGAAGUACGAGGCUCUGAUGAGAGGAUGAAGGUUUCCGUCAAAGAACGGCAGCGACUUCGUCUGAAGACUCUGAACUGAGGAAGAGGAGGAAGAGGAGUCCCACUCAGUCACAUGGAAAGGAUUAAAAUCAUCCAAUCAGCA